Long non-coding RNA from Megalobrama amblycephala (Wuchang bream), 492 nucleotides. RefSeq lists it as uncharacterized. The record is from RefSeq and is a predicted model, not a curated record. NCBI's taxonomy places the organism in Eukaryota, Metazoa, Chordata, Actinopteri, Cypriniformes, Xenocyprididae. The transcript has 3 exons.
GAACAUACAGAGCUGCUAGUAGCCAUUGUUCGGUCUCCUAGCCAGGAUCUCGAGUUCCUUUUACAUCACAAGGAAUUCAAUGCACUGAGGCCACAUGAAUGGUUAUUUGGAGAGACUAUUGAGUGCUAUUUCAGAGCUGUACUUAAUAAGGAGGAUGCAAAUCUCUACCAGCUAAGCCAUUACACCACAGGUGUCAUUUUAAAUGGCACAAGAGAGCAGAUGGAACAGCAAGGAUUUUGAAAAGUCAACUUAGAGCAAUAUGAUGGGGUCAUCACUUUUGUCAAUAUCACUAAAAAUCACUGGAGGUUUGUGUUAAGUAAAAGAGUGCUAAUUUCAAUGAUAAGCUACUACAUAUGCCCAUUUAGACAUGUUUGAUCUUUCAGUGACAUUUAUUUGCUAAUUUAUUUGUUUCUUUUUAUCCAAUUUAGUUUGUAUAUGCUCAGACUGACACCCUUUUCGUGCUUGACUCUGACUGGUACAAAUGAAAUGAAA